Tribolium madens (black flour beetle) is the source of this 940-nucleotide long non-coding RNA. RefSeq lists it as uncharacterized. Lineage: Eukaryota; Metazoa; Arthropoda; Insecta; Coleoptera; Tenebrionidae. The transcript is spliced from 3 exons. The record is from RefSeq and is a predicted model, not a curated record.
GUCAUUUAUUUUAACGUUAAAGCUUGAAUUACAUUAAAGUGUCAGAAAAGUGACGACCAAAGUAUUUUGUCUCCAACUGUAGGUGUAUAUAUAGGAUUCAAAAAUGACCAGAGUUUGAAUUUUUUAAAAAAUGGCAAACUUCAGUGCUUACUUAUUCCUUUCAUUUGUCAUUGACGUCAUGUCCGUUGAUCUUAAUCCACGUAUGUUGAAUGGAAAUCCUCAACCAUUCUAUGAAAAUGUGAUUUUUAACAUCAAACAUAUAAAAAACGAUUUAGUGGUUAAAUCAUGUUUAGGAAUAAAGCUUGAGGAAGCGUAGCUCAUUACAUCAGCUUUUUGUAUUCUUAAAAAUGAUAAUUCCAGUCAAAUUAUUGCCGAAGCUCAAAUUGAUGGAGGAAACCUUGUCGAACGUGACACCCAACUGGGAAGAAUAUAUUCAUCCUUGAUAUGAAAAGGAAAACAUGAUAUAGGAUUGCUUCUUCUCAGAGAAUAUCCUAGAUAUAUUAAUAAAAAAAUGAAGGAAAUAAGAAUACUUCCAUUUUCAAAUGACUUCAAAAAUAUGAUAGGAGUUGUAAGUGGUAUCAAUUCUGUCAACCCACUAGAAUCAAAUAGUUUUGGUCAUUUAAAUGUUACUAUUUAUAGUAUGUCUCAAUGCAAAAGGGAAUUUCCGGAAUUGAAUUAUGUUCAAAAAUUGGAUGGAUAUUUUCAAAUUUGUGCUGUUCCUAUUAAUAAACAAGCAGACAUGUUUGAAUCAGAUUCGGGAGCUAUCUUGUCCAGUGCAUUUUAUGAUAAUCGUGACAGAGGAAUCAUUGGAAUAUUUAACGUUAUUCCUGAAAGAGCUGAACAUUUUAACCAACAACGUCGUCCAUUGAUUUUCACACAGAUUUAUCCUUAUUUUCCUUGGAUUACUGAUGAUCUUGCAUAUAUUCCUUAUGAAACUUUA